RNAcentral lists this small RNA (89 nucleotides) under Sinorhizobium meliloti 2011. RNAcentral describes it as "putative ncRNA". The record is from RNAcentral. Lineage: Bacteria; Pseudomonadati; Pseudomonadota; Alphaproteobacteria; Hyphomicrobiales; Rhizobiaceae.
AGCCGCUGCGCUAAGAAACUGAAAAUACUCGAGAAUGUUGAUCGGAGUCGUGCAGGUCGUUUGCCGGGGCCCGCUUGGAACGCGGGAGU